This 65-nucleotide transfer RNA is filed under the name Glyptelasma sp. 1 ZG-2020. RNAcentral's name for it is "tRNA-Cys". The record is from RNAcentral. Lineage: Eukaryota; Metazoa; Arthropoda; Thecostraca; Poecilasmatidae.
GGUGGAAUAGUUUAAUAAAAAUUUUAUCUUGCAAAGAUAAUUAUGAUCUUAAGGAUCUUUCACUU